RNAcentral lists this ribosomal RNA (253 nucleotides) under uncultured bacterium. RNAcentral's name for it is "partial 16S ribosomal RNA". It matches the Rfam family "Bacterial small subunit ribosomal RNA", at positions 524 to 776 of the family's 1533-position model. The record is from RNAcentral.
UACAGAGGUCCCAAGCGUUGUCCGGAAUUAUUGGGCGUAAAGAGCUCGUAGGCGGUCUGUUGCGUCCGCUGUGAAAACUCGGGGCUUAACCCCGAGCCUGCAGUGGAUACGGGCAGACUAGAGGUAGGUAGGGGAGAAUGGAAUUCCCGGUGUAGCGGUGAAAUGCGCAGAUAUCGGGAGGAACACCGGUGGCGAAGGCGGUUCUCUGGGCCUUACCUGACGCUGAGGAGCGAAAGCGUGGGGAGCGAACAGG